Non-coding RNA from Podarcis lilfordi (Lilford's wall lizard), 74 nucleotides. Lineage: Eukaryota; Metazoa; Chordata; Lepidosauria; Squamata; Lacertidae. The record is from the annotation of a GenBank genome assembly.
ACCUGGGAUAGCUCAUUUGGUAGAGCAUGAAACUCUUAAUCUCAGAGUUGUGGGUUUGGGCCUCACAUUGGGCA